Molecule: RNA transcript, 2082 nt
Organism: Sapajus apella (tufted capuchin)
Lineage: Eukaryota; Metazoa; Chordata; Mammalia; Primates; Cebidae
Exons: 3
Source: RefSeq, a predicted model, not a curated record
GCCCAGAAGACACACUUGGCCUCCAGCAGGCUGGGCCAUGCAGAAGGGAUAGCAGGGGUACACUCCCUUUGAACCUGGAGAGAGGGCCUUACCCUUGAAGCAUUACUGAGAGGGUGAAAUGAGAACAGAAAUGGGCUUGGGGAGCCACACGCUGCCAGCUCCAAAUUCCCAAGGACAAGGAUCCCUCUGCAUUUUUGUCUAUAUGUAUAGACAAAUAUAAGACAUAUUAUAGACAUAUUGAACCUCUCAUAUGGGCUGCAUUCAGCUACGAGGCAAGGAAACCUUGGUUGCAGUGGUUUAAAGAAGCAGAAGAUGGAUUUUCUACAUAGCAUGGAUUCUGGAGAUGGGUGGCUGACGGUUGGUUCGGCAGCUCCAUGAUGAUAAGGGCCCAAUCUUGGAUCCUCUGCCUUGCUCGCAGUGCAUGUUCCUUCAUGGUCCCAAGACAGCUGCUGUAGCUCUAAGAAUCAUGUGUGGAUUCAAGGAAGGAGGGGUAGAGGAAGAGGAAGGGCCAAACUAGUUGGACCUGUCACCUUUUUUUUUUUUUUUUUUUGGAGACGGAGUCUCACUCUGUUGGGCCUCCCAAAGUGUUGGGAUUACAGGCAUGAGCCACCACACCCGGCCAGACCUGUCACCUUCUAUCAGAAAGUAAAACCUUGGUUAGAAGCCUGUUUCUUGCUGUCUCCUCCUGCAUAUUUUCACUUAGCUGCCCUUGGUUUGAGCCAGCUACCACUGCACCUCUAGCUGCAGAGAAAGCUAAAACAGCAGGGAACAGAAUUGUCAUGAUUGAAUACACCAGUCAUGUUUCAUCUACUGAGACUGGCACUCUGCCUUCUGCAAUAAAACUGAGAUCCCAUUACCAUGAGAGAAAAGUGGAUUUGUGUACCAGUUAGCUUCUGCUGUGUAACAAACCAUCCCCAAACCUGGCAGCUAAAAACAGAUCCUUUAUUUGCCCACAAUUCUGUGGGUUGGCAAUUUGGGCUGGGCUCAGCUGGGCAGUUCUGCUGCUCCCACCAGGAGUCCCUCAUGGAGCUAAUGUCAGCUGUUACCUCAACUGGGCCUGGAUGAUCUACAAUAGCCUUACUCACUUGCCUGGCAGGUGACAGGCUGUUGGCUGGAGUUGCUUGGUUCUCCUCAAUGUGGCCUCUCCAGCAGGCUAGCUCAGGCUGAUUCACAUGAUGGCUUCAAGGUUCCAAGGGAGUGAGAGUAGAAGCUGAAAGACUUCUUGGGUUCUUGGCCUGGAACUGGGACUAGGACAAUGUCACUACUGCUAAGUUCUUUUGGUCAGAGCAAAUCACAAGGCUUUGCCCAGAUUCAACAGAUGAGAAACACUCCAUGUCUUGAUGAGUGGAACCACAAGGAGCUUGUGGCCAUUUUUCACCUAUCACAAAUUAUUUUGGAUGGGCAAAUAAAAGUAUUUCCCUCUUCUCCCUUUCUCUCUCUCUCUGUGUUUCAUGGGGCCUCACUCUGCCAAGUUUGAAGGCACUAAGACAUUGUCCCUCAGGGUCUAGGGGAAGAGGUGUUGGGGCAGGAAGUGAGUCUCUCCAAGGGCUGGACCCUCUGUAGUAGGGGUACUUCCUUGUCUGCACUGGUGGUACAGGGUUAGGCCAGCUACGAUGUUCCAGAGGGGCUUCUGAAAACCAAGAGUCUCCGGGGAAAGGGAACAGAGUAAGGCAGACCUUGUUCUCACUGCCCUCUAAGGGAACUUGGUCACUUGGCACUUUUAAGCCUCAGUUUCCCCAGUUCAAUAAUAAGGACAACAGCUUUUCUCACCCACUCUCUUUCCAGGGGAAGGAUGACAGAGGUGAGCAGUAACAGAACUGAAAAGGGAGAGCGUCCUCAAUGCAGUGUGGUAUUCUGGACUGGAUCUUGGAAUCAAAAUGACAUUAGUGGGAAAAUUGGAAAUUUGAAGCAAGUCUGAAUUUUAGUUAAUAUAUCAAUUUCAGUCUCGGUUUUGCCAAAUGUACCAUGGUGAAGUAAGAUGCGGACCUUCCAGUAUGCUGGGUGAAGGGUAUACAGGAACUGUUUGUACUGUCUCUACAACUUUUCUGUAAAUCUAAUAUUCCAAAAUAAAAGUUUUUUAAA